This 71-nucleotide transfer RNA is filed under the name Marmota monax (woodchuck). Its description in RNAcentral is "tRNA.Gly". Lineage: Eukaryota; Metazoa; Chordata; Mammalia; Rodentia; Sciuridae. The record is from RNAcentral.
GGGGUUGUGACUCAGCGGUAAAGUGCUCACCUCCCAUGUGCGAGACCUUGGGUUUGAUCCUCAGCACCACA